CCCACGAAUAGAGAAAAUCAUCAAGACCAGUGACAACACCAAUGAUGAAUGAUGCAAUGAAAAUUCGAGGUGUUAUCAAGUAAUACUUGGCAUUAAUGCCUUCGGUUUUUCGACGAUAGAAGUAUAGGAUGGCAAGAGGUAUAAGGGUGAAUGGCCAUCCAGCCGUUUGUAACCAACUGCUAAACCAAACUCUUGAACCUCCCUCGACAUAAUAUAGACGCAUCAUUAGAGGACCACCGCAUAUACCCACAGCUAGUAUUAAACAAUUAAUCAACAGGAGGAUUCUCCUCAUAGUGGUGCUUAAUCCUUGAUUUUCCAUACUUUUUUGCAAGCGAUUUGGAUACUAUGUUGGAGUAGUCUGCUGCUCAGGCUGAAUGGACUUCUUCUUCUACUACUAAGGUAUGGAAUUUUGGAUCUGUUGCGGUGCUGAGAUCUGUACUCUGCUAUUUAUAAAUGAGAAACAUCUUAGUACAUUCCCAUGAUUUGUUUCACGUCAUGGAGUGGCCCCACUUUAAGAAGGCUUUCUUCUGAUUUAAUUAAUUGCAGUACUAGAAAUUUUCAUAUGAUUCACAAGGGAAGGAUAUAACAAUUAAAAAAUAUUAGAGCAAAGACCAAAAAAGCAAUGAUUGUGAGUAGAUUUGUUGUUAAAUUGCAACGUUGAAUUUCUAGGAAAAACUAUUAGCGGACCAUGGACUGUGCCGUGUAAAUAGCCUUGCCUAUUCUACUGGUUAGCGUUGAAUUUUGCACUUGCACAAGACAAAAAUAUGGAUUAAAAUUAAUAAGGAUGGGACAAACGUGGGUUUAGCUAAGAGUUGAAUAAUUAUCAGUGGGUAGGUAGAACCUUGCAUUUCCACCUGUGAAGAGAAACAUAUGAAUAGUCACCCAUAAACUUAACGUGGGUUUUAGUUAACUUUAUUCGAAUUCAAUAAAUAUGAUUAGCCCCUCAUAUGCCAACAAUAACAGUUUUUCUUAUAUGAAAGCGUGCCGAGAACCAGAAAGGAUUCAGACCUCUCCAGUGAUAUGGGCACUUUUAAAUCUGCAACACCUGUCCAAUUUAAAAUUCAAUGUUUCAGUUGGCCACAAAUAACUGUUAGACAUGUUUACAACACGACAAAAAAAAAAGACAGGAAUUAAGAAAAAGAAAAUCAAAAUUGGACGGCUUCUCGAUUUUUUUUUUAGUGUUGUUAGGACCGAAAAAAAUCAGGUAUUAUGCGUAAGCUGGUAAAGCAAACCUUGAACGAUGAUAAAUCAUACCACAAAAGAAAAAUCUACCAAAAGAGAUGUAAACAUUUAAUGUGGUUCGGUCAGUUGACCUACGUCCAUAACGGAGAUGAGCAAUCAACUAUAAUAAAAGAGAGUACAAAAUAUCGAGAGAACAACCUCACGAAGAGGCAAACACAAGUGACACACUAAAACUUGUCCCGUAAAGUUCUCCCCCUAAAUACAACUCUCAAACCCCAUAUGGCUACAUUUGUGGAUGCUAAUGAAUGAGAAGGAAGGAUCCUCAAUUUAUAGAGGUCUAAAACAUUUUCCUACAAGAAAAGGACUAGCUAAAUAUGGAAGAUUUAUAAUUUUCUUCUACAAGAAGAAAAAUCCAAUUAUGAUAAAUAUGUUGCCCUUUCUUUUGAGAGAUAGGGAAACCAAAUAUAGUAAGAAAAUAAGGACAAACACCUAACAAUGUGCUUAAGAACACCCGACUGUCAAGAUUGAGCUGAUCAUCAAUAUUGUAACUUUGAAAAUAUUAGCUAUUGAUCACGUCCAACUUUAGUCCUAAAAAGGAUAAGUGGUCACUGCAAAUAUAUUCCGAUCUAAGAGUUCGGAGUCAAAUUCUACAGAGAACUAAGGUUUAACUACAACUGUUCACUAUCAACAUGAAGACAAACUCGAGCAAUUUCUAAAGUUAUAAAUAUAAAGGCUCUUAUGUCUAACUAAUUAAUUAAUUUAAACCAGAGAUACUAAGGGUUGAAGACAAGAUUAAGGGGCCUAGAGUUAUGAUUUCACCAAUUGUCGGAAUCCUUCCAGCUACGUCUCCUAUAAUUUUGCCUAAGUAUUCUUUACUGAUCUUGAUCACUUCAUGUAUCGUAAUUCUCUCCCGAGCAACUACAACAAUUUACUAGACAUAUUCUCUUGAACUACACUAGCUACCUGGCACUAUCUUACCGCUCACUAUGAUCACAUCAAGGCUUUGUUAUUCAUAAACCCACCGUAUUAAUUUCUCACAUACGUUAGGAGUGACGUUGUUCAACAACCACCUAAAUAUGUACUCUUUCCCAAAUAAUACAUAAUAAAUAGGCACAAUCAAUUGAUGGCCAUUCAAUCAACAACAAUAAAUACGUAGUUGAACAAGUAGAGAAAUUCAAAGGCUCAAUUAUAUAAAAACAUAACAAGAAUUUAUCCUACAAAAUGUUCCAUCAGAACCCUAGAUAAGAGAUUAGCUAUUAAUAAUAGUAUGUAAAACUACAAUACUAAAAUUUAUGACUAAUAAUGGAAAUUGAAAGAAGAAAGGAAAAACUUAUUGUCGAAUCUUCCACCUUGCUCCUUGCGUGUUCCUCCUCUCCAAAUUCUUCUCUAACCCUAAAGUACUGUCUCGAUCCCCGCUUCAAAAGGACUCUUUAGGAUAUAUUUAUAUCAAUUAGGGGUUGUAUGGGGCAGAACUAAUCAAUACAAUCUCGGAUAGGAAAGCUAGAAUUCACAUCAACUUUCGUGCAUUGUGUGACUAUAGGCGCGGAUUCAACUUUUGAAAUUUUUUCAUUUUGCGAAGCGAUCCGUGCCUUCGCUCCACUUUACUGUUUUGUGCAUUCAAUUGUCUCCUUUUUCGUGUCCGCUUUCGUGCCAUGGGCGAGAAUGGACGAGCUCCCGGUUCUUCCACCUUUUUCUUUUUGCAACAAAUUGAGAUCUUUUGAUCAAAUAUCAUCAAAACUCGUUACUACACAUAAGAAACACGUAAUGAGCAUAUUUUACUUCAAAAACUUUUGCAACUCACACAAGAAAUAAUAUGCAAAUAUACUAAAAACAUGCACUUUUCAUCAUUUAUCUGCUAUGCAAUACGGGUGUCCAUGAAACUCUAGUAAAGUAGUCCACAUUUCGCACGAUUGUGAAACACUUUAGUGAAUUUUGAAAUAAGUUUUUUAUAGUUUAAUCGAGAUAGAAGAGUUAUUAUUUCCUUAUGUAUUUCCAUAUAAAAUAAUUCUAUCUUGGCGACAUUACAAAUAAAAAUAUUUUUAAUUGAAUUAGAGCUUAGAUGAUUUAUAAGAUUUUCUUUAAACACGAUGAAAAAGAAAAAGAACUUUAAAGGAAUUUUUUUUACUUAUAGAUGUGUUAAUAUACGUGGUUUAAUACAUGAUUCUCUAAGUGUAGCAUAUAUAUUAAAUAUAUGUAUAUAGGUAUUUUUUUUUUAUUUGAUCCUAAAAUAAUAAAAUAAUGUAAAUCUCUUAAUGAAGUCUACAAGCAAGAACAAAAAUAGAGUUACGAGUUUAUUUUCAAUUGAAACGAAAAACAAAAAAAAGCUGAUCGCGGAUGACAUUAGUUUGCCAAAGCUUGUUAACGAUGAAAACUUCGAUGGAAUGCACUUUGUAGAGGGGAUAAAAAGGAUAUAGUGUCAGAAGGCAAAAUUACAGUCAAUGCAGGGACUAAACUUACAUAUUUAUGUUAAUUGAUGGUCAAAUUGCUAAGUUAAAUAAUAUGUGGACUAAAUAAUAAUUAGGUAACAAUACAAAGACCAAAAAUACUAUUUUCCAUCUAGAAUAGUACCCCAACCAUGACUUGCGCCAUGUAAAUAGCCAUAUCCAUAUAUACUACUAGUUGGCGGGGAAAUUUGCGUUUUCACUUUUCUUGAAACCAUUUUCCACUUGUGAAGACAAAAAUGGAGUGAAAUAAACAAAUUGGGUUUUAGAUAACAUUGCUUUUUAAGAUGGAAUACAUAUUGAAAAUAGAAGAAAAGUGCUCAUUUCAGUUGAAUAAAUUUCUCGUUUCAUCAUUAAUGAAUAAUAAGUAUUCCACAAAAUAACAUACAUUAUUUUCUACAAAAAAUAAAAACUAUUUAUUUAUAUAGCCAUGAUUAAUAGUAAAUCAAACAGACUCGAUAUGCGUCGUUGUCAUCUCAGUUUGUGGACUUUUGUUCUUCUGCUUCUUUGUUUGUCUGAACUCUCCAUAAAAGUAAGAAACGAAACCCCAAAGAGAAAGGAAAAGAGCAAGGCCCUUUUCACCUGAAAAAUUUUCUCUAAAGAAAACUACAGCUAAUACCUCAGUAACAGGAAGUAGAACUGCGAUCAUAACCCCAGACAUCAAAGAAGAAGAGCAGUAAAUGACUCCAAUGACACCCACAAAGAAGCACUGCCAAACAAUGGUAGUCCACACUACUACUGUAUAAUAUCUAGCUUCUCCAAGGUUAAAUUGUUUUGCCUCCCUUGAUAUUGCCUGCAAAUUUCAAUCAAUUUCUUAGUCGUUGCUCUUUAAAAAAAAAGAUUGUCUAUAGCUAAGACAAAAUUGAAACCUUGGAAGUAUCUAUAUAUGAUACAAAACUUUUAGGUAAAUCUAUUCGAAUCCAGUAUAUUACAUCCAGCUUUCAUAUACUUUCUAUAUGUCUUCAGUCAACCAUGUCAAGAGUCUUGAUCCCUCUAUGUGGGAUAUGAAUAAUUUAGGGUUUCUACUGCUAAAGUCAAACUCACAACUCAUUACAUGCUUUUGUUCUCUCUUGUCAUUAAGAUCAGCAAACUUUAUUGGAAAUGAAAUAAGGAGAAAUAAAUGAAAAGAGAAAAAAAAAGAAAAAAGAAAAAAGAAAAAAGAAAAAAGAAAAAAGAAAACAAAAAGAGAGGUUUCCAACGAAUUUAAGAAAUCCUAAAAGAUGGACUAUUGAUGUUAGUGAACGCCAAUAGAUCAUCACCUAAAGAGAAGUUGAUAGACUGGUCAUUUGAAGGCCUUAGGGAUCUAAUGGCAAUUAACACCAAACGAGAGUCGAGAAACAUAUAUAUUACGAUCUCUUUUUUAAUUUAUGUGACAUAAUUUGUGUCUCGAAAUUUCAAAAUGAAAAUAAAUUUAUGAAACUUGGGUUUUAAGCAUAUUUUAUAAUAUUUGUGUAUCUUUUAGACUUUUCAAACUUAUGAUUUUAGCAUUGUGUGGCAGUAAAAAACUUCUUAAAACUAGUAGUUUAAACAUAAACACCUUUCAACUGUAAAAAUGAACUAUUAUUUUAUUUGUAUAGACUAAAUAUAGAAAAGAUUUAAAUUAUUCACCCUUCUACCGUAAAGUUCAUUUACAUUUCUAACUAGUAAUAACACGUCGAUUGCUCUUUUACCACGUUAUCAAUAAAUUAUAAAAAUAUAAAAAAAAUAAAAUGUGAUGGAGUGAGUAAGAUGCAUGGGCAAAAAUGAGCUAUAGGGGAAGAAAGAAUUACCUUAAAGUCGUUAUUAACAAUCAUUCCUACGGUGCAAAAAGCAGUAGCAGCAAAACACAUGACCAUCUGAAUCUCCAGCACCAACGUAGCAGUAAUAACUUGUUUUGCCUUCAAGUAAAUCAACUCAAUACAAGGCAAAAUGACUCCAUAUAAAGCUGCUGCGAGAAGUGUCAUCAUAAAACCAAGAAUAUAGGCUUUACUUGUCACACCCUCCGGCCGAUCACCAUUAGAACGAACACCCAGUAAAACAGCACCAACUGUCAGCAGAACCACUGCAUUGAUAGAGUAGGGUGUGAACUUCAGCUUCACUAUGAAGAAAGCACCUACUGCCGUGAAGGCAAGUUGAGCCGCAAGAAGCAGUGAAGAGGUUGACACAGGGAGUUUUGACCCGCCCCACGAAUAGAGAAAAUCAUCAACACCAGUGACAAUGCCAAUGACGAAUGACGCAAUGAAAAUUCGGGGUGUUAUAAAGUAAAACUUGGCACUAGAGCCUUCGGUUUUUCGACGAUAGAAGUAUAAGAUAGCAAGAGGUAUAAAGGUGAGUGGCCAUCCAGCAGUUUGUAACCAACUGCUAAACCAUACUCUUGAACCUCCCUCCACAAAAUAUAGACGCAUCAUUAGAGGGCCACCGCAGAUACCAACAGCAAGUAUUAUACAAUUAAUCAGCAGGAGGAUUCUCCUCAUAGC
RNAcentral lists this long non-coding RNA (6079 nucleotides) under Nicotiana tabacum (common tobacco). RNAcentral describes it as "long non-coding RNA (NTAB_LNC010842)". The record is from RNAcentral. Lineage: Eukaryota; Viridiplantae; Streptophyta; Magnoliopsida; Solanales; Solanaceae.